GAUAAACGCUGGCGGCGUGCUUAACACAUGCAAGUCGAACGGGGUGGUUCUCCCGAGGAUUGACGGUGCUUGCACCUGAUUGACUCAUUUGAAUCACUUAGCGGCGGACGGGUGAGUAACGCGUGAGCAACCUGUCCUUCACGAGGGGGAUAACACAGCGAAAGUUGUACUAAUACCGCAUAAGACCACAGAGCCACAUGGCUCAGGGGUCAAAGGAGUAAUCCGGUGAAGGGUGGGCUCGCGUCCGAUUAGAUAGUUGGUGAGGUAACGGCCCACCAAGUCGACGAUCGGUAGCCGACCUGAGAGGGUGAUCGGCCACAUUGGGACUGAGACACGGCCCAAACUCC
RNAcentral lists this ribosomal RNA (347 nucleotides) under uncultured Coriobacteriales bacterium. RNAcentral describes it as "bacterial SSU rRNA". It matches the Rfam family "Bacterial small subunit ribosomal RNA", at positions 28 to 339 of the family's 1533-position model. Lineage: Bacteria; Bacillati; Actinomycetota; Coriobacteriia; Coriobacteriales. The record is from RNAcentral.